AUUGGUCGCUUCCGCGCUUCCAGUGGUAGAAGUACCAGAAGGCAAGGAAGCAGGGUCAGAGACUGGUAGUUUUGAGAUAGGCAAGGGGGGUUAGAACAGUUGGAAGAUGAGGGAAUGGUAGCUGAGGAGGCGGGGUUGGUUCGAAGGGGAUAGGAGGAUUUGGGCGGAUGAAUAGUAAAUCUGGAAGGGAUUUGAACAGUUUGUUGAAUAGUAAUUUCCUCAGAUCUACUUUUUGAGAAUGCAGAUUCUGAGUUAGUGGUUUGUUUUAGGUUAGCAGACACCUGAAUUGGAGGUCCCUUUAACGAGGUAGUAGUUGCAGUCUUCAUCUUUUUUUUAUGAAGUAGUUGGGGGAGUAGUAGUAGCUGGUGAGGAAGGGAGCGGAGGGAAGUUAGGGUCGGGAGGAUCGGGAGGGUCAGGAGGGUGAACUGGAGAUUCACCAGGGUUCAGGCCGGAAUCACAUCCCCACUCGGGGAACCAGGGGUUCACUUGAGG
RNAcentral lists this long non-coding RNA (492 nucleotides) under Brassica napus (rape). RNAcentral describes it as "long non-coding RNA (BNAP_LNC011336)". The record is from RNAcentral. Lineage: Eukaryota; Viridiplantae; Streptophyta; Magnoliopsida; Brassicales; Brassicaceae.